CUGUCUCCAUUUUUACUGUACCCGGUAUUGUUUUACAUAAAGACCCAGGAAUGAGAUCUUCUUCCCUGGCAAAUUCAGGGAAAAUUCGUCGACAGAGUAUGUUGUUUUAAGCUGGAAAGAGUUAGUGAAAAACCAGACAGUAGCAGCGGUGUCGUCAUGGAGACAGUCAUGUGAUCACCUUGUGAUAAAAUACUUAGCUGUUUAUUGUUGUGACCUUGUCAGUGUGAUAAAGAUCACCAUAGUAACCAAUAACCCUGUGGUCAUAUGAUGACAUAUUUACCCAGAAACACCUAUACUGUAGAAUGAAUGGCACUGAGUAAGGAGAGAUCUGAUUGGUCAACUUUUACCCAAUCAGUUUGGCUUUUUAAAAAGGGAAUAUGGAAUCAAGAUCUAGAAUUCAGCACAGCAUAUCACGGAUAUUACUUAGCAACAGGAAUAGUAGUCUGAUUCCUGUAUAGAGGUCUCACAUCUCGUAGAUUUAGAUUUUUAUGGACGAUUCACUCAUACAAUGCUUCACAGUUUUGUGACUUAUGUAUAAAGUAUGUCUAAAGAAGCAGGUUUUUCAUUUUAUUUUUCCAUCAUCUGAAAAUGGACCAUACCUCAUUCUGUGUAUCAACCUCAGCGGAAUUCUGAAGUCAGGAUUUGUAUUGAUGUCAGACCAAGUGAUUGUUCUUUGAGGCUAUAUUCUUAUAUUUAAUUCAUUUAAUACUCCAUGCAGAUAAAUUCUGAUAUUACCCCUUAUUACAAUGUCUCUGAUAAAAAGAAAAAAAAAAGUUGGUUACCUCUAGUGCUCUAAACUGUAAGAAAGAGAGUAACAAAAGGAUUUUUAAUUUUUAUUUCUGUGCAUGAUGUCUCUUUGAGGAAUUUUAAAUAUUUAUAUUCAGAUUUUUGUUACAGAAGACUUAUUUUUGAAGUUGACUGUUAAUGGUAUUGUGUGUAUAAUGAUUUUUUAUGGUACAUAUCUUUGAUUGUGAUUUGGUCCUAUGAAAAGGGCCACAUCAGUGUGCUUGAAGGUUGAUAUACAUGUAUCUGAUGAUGUGUUAUUUGCUAACAAUCUGCUAACAAACCGUAAGAAAAGUCAGGUCUGAAAGUUAAAUUUAAUAGAAUGCUAGUUCCAUUCUGAUAAUAUGAUUAAUCAUGAUAUUAUAUGAAACUAGUGAGAAAAAUUAAUUAAAAUAUAAAAAUCUAUAAAAAUAUAAUUAAAAAAAUUAAUACGAUGGUGUUUGAUACAAGAAAAAAAUCUUUUGAGGAAUCUCUUGUGUUUGUUGAUAAAAUUCAGGGUAAGGGAAAAAGUGUUCAUUUAUAAAUGCAACUAUAAAAUUAAAAAUACGAGUUAGAAAAAUGUAUACUGAUUGUAACCUGACUUAGGAGAGGGCUAAAUUAGGCUGUGCCUAGAUGUUGCCCAAUAUCCUAUUCCCUUGAUUCCUGAUUAUAUUUUGGCAUUGUACAGUAAUAAAAUAAAAAUAAGUUUCAACAGCAAUAUUUAUUUAUUAGUAUAAAUAGUCAAAAUUCAUGACUAUACUAGGAAUUAAGAAUAAUUUUCUUGCACAAGGGUGUCCAUAUUCUUGUAACAUGUCUCAUGGCAUAUUUUUUCUUGCAGUCAAAAGGAAGACUUUUAUAAGAAGCACAAUGUAUUUGCAUGUCACAUCAAUAUCAGUUAUACUUAUGUGUUGAUUUUGUACAAUAUGGACUGAUUCGCCUGUCAUGACAUUUUUUUGUUAUAAAAAUAAUGACAUCAUCAGUUGAUGCAUACUCACAUCAUCAUUUCAUGUGUACAUUUUUUUUCUCUGGUGCCUAUACAUGUGCAUUCAUUUGUCAGUGCCAUUUUUGUAACAAAGAAUCAGGUUGAUUUUGUAAAAGCAUUUAGUUAACAUAUAUUUUAUUAGGAUAUCUAUAUGCAUUAAAAUUACUCAGCCUGAAGAGAAA
This is a long non-coding RNA of Saccostrea cuccullata (small rock oyster), 1926 nucleotides long. RefSeq lists it as uncharacterized. Lineage: Eukaryota; Metazoa; Mollusca; Bivalvia; Ostreida; Ostreidae. The record is from RefSeq and is a predicted model, not a curated record. The transcript has 2 exons.